CACAAUGAAAAGAAAAACACGGAUACCACAUUAGGGUUUCAGGGUUUCUCAUUUCUUAUCCGCCUCCAUCUACACUCUCCUUCUCUGGCGAUUCAAGAACUGCGUGAUUCCUCUUUAGAUCUGUGUUUGUUUCUUCUUUAGAUCUAUGAUUCCUCUUCAGAUCUGCGCAAUUAGCCAGCUUCACACCCACCUUGUAGCCAUGAUUUCUGGUAGAUCUGAGCCACAUCAUUUUGCUGUACUUUUUAAGUCUUCCUCUUUCCUGAAGCCAUCUUCAUCACUAUAGAUGAUGAAAUAUAUCCAGUUUUGACGUAAAAUAAGAAAAUAUGUGGGGGAUUUUGUGGUAAAAAGCCGGAGGAGUUACCGGAUUAUCCUCUCAGGUUUGGAGAAUCAGAUGUUAAGGUUAAGGCAUGUAGCAUCAGCUAUGAGAAGUUUUGCAGUACUUUUCGAGUCUUGGCUUUCCUGAAGCCAUCUUCAUCACUGUCGACGAUGAAAUAUCUCCGAUGUCAUAAACAGUUUGUAACAUUGGCUGAAUACACAACUUUAUCUUCAUCACUAUCGACGCUGAAAUAUCUCUGUUUGUAACAUUGGCUGAGUACACAACUUUAGAGGAUUUUGUACAGGCUAUUACUCUUCCUCUUGCAAUCGAGACUUCUUGUGAAGGUCUAGAAUGGGCUAGCUUUGGUGAGUGUGACAGGUAUCACCUAUAGGGAAUGGGCACCUGGAGCAUAGGUUUGGUAUUGUCUCAUUUAUAUUAUUUUUAUUCUACGUGAUUCGAGGAAAUACAACGUAAUUUGUUAAAAUCAUGUUAAUCUCAUGGCUACAUUUCUUUUUCUGAGUUGCUACAUCAGCUGAUAUCCUUUUUAUUAAAAAAAAUUAUAGUCUGCUUCGCUUAUUGGAGAUUUCAAUAGCUGGAAUCCAAAUGCUGAUGUUAUGACCAAGUGAAAAAUGGAUCCUAUCGCAUUGACAUAUGGCUGCUGUAUUGGGUCGCCAGUUUCAACUUCGUAGAAGGUUCAGGUCAGUUGGGGUUAUGCUUGUUUGCAGUCCACAGGUGGCAGUUGGCCUAGCAAUGGCUGAAACUAAGGUUCAAGGCCCAGCGUUUGAUUUGCAGAUUAAAGAUAGCCAGGUACUCUCCCGUGGGACGAUCAUUCUAUUCUCCUGAUCUGGGUCGUAGACAACCACUCGAUGAGGGGUUGGACGAUCAUGAUCUGUUAAAAGUUUUGCCUGAUUGAUUUCUUUGCUUGAUUUGCACAUUUGGGGUGUUGCGACUGGUGGACUAAAAGAUCGAAGCGCGUUCGCACAUUAGAGUUGGACUGGAUUCGUAAGUCCAAGAGUGUUAUUGUCCAUGAGCUAGAUGGGCAUAACCGAUUGCUUGUCAAGGUAAAAUGGGUCGGACAAAGGUCAUAAAAUAGGUGACAUUGGUGUUAACGCCGCAGCCAGCGCAGCCGCAACAACUUUAUACGGCAUUUGGUCAAGAAAUAAGCAUGAUCUGAUAUAAGCAUAAAAGAGUCAGGCGACGUCUUACAAGUGAUGUUCUUUGCAAGAAAUAGUCGGUUAGAAGACACGCGAGCCAACGUUUUGCAGAAAAGCAGCUUGACUAUAAGAAAGGACAUCUGGAGAAUUUUGGCUGCCAUGACGUCACCUGGAGAAUUUUGAUUGCAGUGUGAAGGCAUUGUCCAAGAUCUUGAUGAUAGGCUUCAGGAGCUUCCCAUGCGUAUUCUGAAGCAACUUCACAAGUUCAACGGGCAAGAUCCGCCACUGGUCAUAUAGGAAGCAUCAACAACAGAUUCAAAGAGGGGAUUUUUCCGGUUGUUUGAGUCCAACUGCACUGGAAUCAGCUGAACCGUUUGUUCAUAUACCUUUUGGUGCUAGAAAACUAGAGGAACGGGAAUUACACCAAGCGAUCGAACUCCAAGACAGACGAUUAAUGAAUCUGCAGUUGGCUGAUGCAAAACACCGUCUGAUACCAUUUGCUAAAAUGAAUUUAUAGGUUUAAUUUAGAUUAAUAUUUUUUUGAAUAAUGAAUACAAAAUUUAAAUAAUUCUAGAAGUUAAAAGUCUAUUAUUAACUUUUGUAACUUAAUAGUGUUUGUAGUUUUUAUAAA
Molecule: long non-coding RNA, 2101 nt
Organism: Helianthus annuus (common sunflower)
Lineage: Eukaryota; Viridiplantae; Streptophyta; Magnoliopsida; Asterales; Asteraceae
Exons: 13
Source: RefSeq, a predicted model, not a curated record